Molecule: ribosomal RNA, 497 nt
Filed under: uncultured bacterium
Lineage: Bacteria
Description: partial 16S ribosomal RNA
Rfam family: Bacterial small subunit ribosomal RNA
Source: RNAcentral
GAUGAACGCUGGCGGCGUGCCUAAUACAUGCAAGUCGAGCGAACGGACGAGAAGCUUGCUUUUCUGAUGUUAGCGGCGGACGGGUGAGUAACACGUGGAUAACCUACCUAUAAGACUGGGAUAACUUCGGGAAACCGGAGCUAAUACCGGAUAAUAUUUUGAACCGCAUGAUUCAAAAGUGAAAGACGGUCUUGCUGUCACUUAUAGAUGGAUCCGCGCUGCAUUAGCUAGUUGGUAAGGUAACGGCUUACCAAGGCAACGAUGCAUAGCCGACCUGAGAGGGUGAUCAGCCACACUGGAACUGAGACACGGUCCAGACUCCUACGGGAGGCAGCAGUAGGGAAUCUUCCGCAAUGGGCGAAAGCCUGACGGAGCAACGCCGCGUGAGUGAUGAAGGUCUUCGGAUCGUAAAACUCUGUUAUUAGGGAAGAACAUAUGUGUAAGUAACUGUGCACAUCUUGACGGUACCUAAUCAGAAAGCCACGGCUAACUACGUG